RNAcentral lists this unclassified non-coding RNA (390 nucleotides) under soil metagenome. Its description in RNAcentral is "partial contains 5.8S ribosomal RNA, internal transcribed spacer 2, and large subunit ribosomal RNA". The stretch from base 1 to 122 matches the Rfam family "5.8S ribosomal RNA", at positions 35 to 154 of the family's 154-position model. The record is from RNAcentral.
GAUGAAGAACGUAGCGAAAUGCGAUACUUGGUGUGAAUUGCAGAAUCCCGUGAACCAUCGAGUCUUUGAACGCAAGUUGCGCCCGAAGCCAUUAGGCCGAGGGCACGCCUGCCUGGGCGUCACACGUCGUUGCCCCCCCAUCUACUCCUUCGGGAUUGCGGGGGGCGGAUGAUGGCCUCCCGUGCGCCUCGCCGCGCGGUUGGCAUAAAUGCCAAGUCCUCGGCGACGCACGCCACGACAAUCGGUGGUUGCGAAACCUCGGUUGCCCGUCGUGUGCGGUCGUCGCGCAUCGAGGGCUCGAAAAAAUUGCCGGGUUGCGGCUCGGCUUUCAACGCGACCCCAGGUCAGGCGGGGUUACCCGCUGAAUUUAAGCAUAUCAAUAAGCGGGGA